AGCGGCGGACGGGUGAGUAAUGCCUAGGAAUCUGCCUAGUAGUGGGGGACAACGUUUCGAAAGGAACGCUAAUACCGCAUACGUCCUACGGGAGAAAGUGGGGGAUCUUCGGACCUCACGCUAUUAGAUGAGCCUAGGUCGGAUUAGCUAGUUGGUAGGGUAAAGGCCUACCAAGGCGACGAUCCGUAACUGGUCUGAGAGGAUGAUCAGUCACACUGGAACUGAGACACGGUCCAGACUCCUACGGGAGGCAGCAGUGGGGAAUAUUGGACAAUGGGCGAAAGCCUGAUCCAGCCAUGCCGCGUGUGUGAAGAAGGCCUUCGGGUCGUAAAGCACUUUAAGUUGGGAGGAAGGGCUCAUAGCGAAUACCUGUGAGUUUUGACGUUACCAACAGAAUAAGCACCGGCUAACUUCGUGCCAGCAGCCGCGGUAAUACGAAGGGUGCAAGCGUUAAUCGGAAUUACUGGGCGUAAAGCGCGCGUAGGUGGCUUGAUAAGUUGGAUGUGAAAUCCCCGGGCUCAACCUGGGAACUGCAUCCAAAACUGUCUGGCUAGAGUGCGGUA
RNAcentral lists this ribosomal RNA (563 nucleotides) under Pseudomonas sp. RNAcentral's name for it is "bacterial SSU rRNA". It matches the Rfam family "Bacterial small subunit ribosomal RNA", at positions 94 to 653 of the family's 1533-position model. Lineage: Bacteria; Pseudomonadati; Pseudomonadota; Gammaproteobacteria; Pseudomonadales; Pseudomonadaceae. The record is from RNAcentral.